RNAcentral lists this ribosomal RNA (247 nucleotides) under uncultured Actinomycetes bacterium. Its description in RNAcentral is "uncultured actinobacterium partial 16S ribosomal RNA". It matches the Rfam family "Bacterial small subunit ribosomal RNA", at positions 29 to 276 of the family's 1533-position model. Lineage: Bacteria; Bacillati; Actinomycetota; Actinomycetes. The record is from RNAcentral.
AAUGAACGUUGGCGGCAUGGAUUAGGCAUGCAAGUCGAGCGGUAAGGCCCUUUCGGGGGUACACGAGCGGCGAACGGGUGAGUAACACGUGGGUGACCUGCCUUUAGCUCUGGGAUAAGCCUGGGAAACUGGGUCUAAUACCGGAUAUGACUCCGCGGUGCAUGCUGUGGGGUGGAAAGCCUUGUGCGGCUGGAGAUGGGCCCGCGGCCUAUCAGCUUGUUGGUGGGGUGAUGGCCUACCAAGGCGA